ACUUAUUCAUUCAAGUGGCCAAUGUUCUCAGGCACUGAUCUUGUAAGAUUUCUUCUGACAAUUUCUGGCAACAAGAGGAUUAUUGUAAGCUCUUAUGAUUUCACAUACAGGCCAAUCCUUACCAGCUUAUGAUAAUCCUUUUGUUGUGAGGAAUGAAUGUUAACAGGAUCAACACUUGAGCAUAUUGGGCAGUUGAAUGAUUAGU
RNAcentral lists this microRNA precursor (205 nucleotides) under Picea abies (Norway spruce). RNAcentral describes it as "miR11431a stem-loop (pab-MIR11431a)". Lineage: Eukaryota; Viridiplantae; Streptophyta; Pinopsida; Pinales; Pinaceae. The record is from miRBase by way of RNAcentral.